RNAcentral lists this ribosomal RNA (397 nucleotides) under uncultured bacterium. Its description in RNAcentral is "partial 16S ribosomal RNA". It matches the Rfam family "Bacterial small subunit ribosomal RNA", at positions 523 to 918 of the family's 1533-position model. The record is from RNAcentral.
AUACGUAGGGGGCGAGCGUUGUCCGGAAUGAUUGGGCGUACAGGGCGCGUAGGCGGCCCGGUAAGUCUGGAGUGAAAGUCCUGUUUUUAAGCUGGGAAUUGCUUUGGAUACUGUCGGGCUUGAGCGCAGGAGAGGUAAGUGGAAUUCCCAGUGAAGCGGCGAAAUGCGUAUACAUUGGGAGGAUCACCAGUGGCGAAGGCGAAUUACUGGACUGUAACUCACGCUGAGGCGCGAAAGUGUGGAGAGCAAACAGGAUUAGAUACCCUGGUAGUCCACGCUGUAAACGAUGAAUGCUAGGUGUAGGGGGUAUCGACCCCUUCUGUGCCGCAGUCAACACAAUAAGCAUUCCGCCUGGGGAGUACGGCCGCAAGGUUGAAACUCAAAGGAAUUGACGGGG